CUUAAGCAGAGGUGUGGACGAUUAAAAACCACUGCAAACUUCCUGCUAACUCACAGCAGGUUCAAGAGCAUCGUCAAAGCAGCUGUCUGAGCCAGGACACAAAUAAUAGCAACAUCAGAUCCCUGCUAUAACUACACUGUGCUGGAUGAUCCUAGGAGAUCCACAGACAAUCGAUAUUCCUACGAAUUAAUGUGUGACGUUUGGGUCAGCUGGAGCGGCUGGUACCGUCUCUUCAUUCAUGGUCAGAGCGCUCAGAUGCCAGACACAUGUGUUGAUAAGUAUAG
Carassius gibelio (silver crucian carp) is the source of this 284-nucleotide long non-coding RNA. RefSeq lists it as uncharacterized. NCBI's taxonomy places the organism in Eukaryota, Metazoa, Chordata, Actinopteri, Cypriniformes, Cyprinidae. The record is from RefSeq and is a predicted model, not a curated record. The transcript has 3 exons.